GACACUGUAUAACUACAGAGAGCGUCCCUGAAAGAGGAAAGUUUUAGAAAAAGAAAGAAGUUAAGAAAGAAAGAAAGAAAACUAUCGUGGCGUGUGACGUCAGACGCCGAAAAGGUGGACGCGUGCCGCAGCUUGUGUUUGAAAACGGAAAGAAGAUUUAAGAUGGCUGGUUCGACCUGGUCCAGAUUGAUGACUCGUCCAGAACGGAACAAACUUGUGCUUCCUGCUCGCGGAGACCAGGUUGGACUCGUCCAUGCUUCAUGACUGACUGUUUAAAAAAAUAAGGUUGAGCUUCUUGAAGAUCUUCCAACAGUAGGUUUCAAGCAAUUUAAUUCUGGGUGGCCGCCGUGUCCCCACUCUUUUGCUUGGCCGCCGUGCCCGUGUCUAUCCAGCUUUCCUACAAUGUACUGAAACCAUCUUUACGUCCAACAUGGCCACGUUCUUUCACCUCUCCUGCUUUCCAACACUCAGAUAGCUCAGGGUUGUACAUGGAGCGUUAGCUACAGAGACGGUGGUUUGUUAAUCUGGUCCUCUCUAGUUUAUAUUUUUGCCGGACUGCUGAGUGAUUUGUAAGAAUGAGGUGUUUUUAAGGCUCUUUAGCAGCUUGACUUUGAAUGAAUGCUGAUCCUGGUGUUGAAUGGGAUGUGUGUGAGAUUGACAAUAGGAUUCUGCUCAGCAGUUCCCAUUGAGAUAUGGUUUGCCAAAUUGUACUGCACUAACAUUUCCUUUUUAGGUCUACCAACGAGUGGUAAGUUCAAUUUUCUUUUUUGGGAGGCUACCUUCUCGGCCUCCUUUUUUUUAUUUUUGCAGAGUAGGGGAAUAAAAUCAAAAGUUGUGUGGUUUGUGUGAACUUGUGAAAGUCUUCAGCACUUGGUUGUUGGCAAGUGACGUGCCAGUGCAGUUGCCCACAGAUAACUACUGAGGACUACUGUCUCCUUCAUUCAAGCUCUACAUUACCUUUCUUUCCUCAAGAGGAUUCACCAAGAGAAAUUGUCGUAAAUCUCUCUGGGUGAAUCUACCGCGCAUUUUCUCGGCCGCCGUGCCGAUCUGUCCUGGCCGACUGUGGCAUUCCUCCGUUUAAAGUAGGAGCGCAGGGUUUUUUUAUUUUCCUUGAUGUUUGCUCAUGACCUGAUGUUGGAGGACCAGAUGUUAGAUCAGGUUUAAAUGGAUUUUGUGCAGUUGAUGCAUGUAGAUGGAGGCUUUGUGUCACAAGGCUUAGGUCUUUCUGUGAAAUAUGUCAUAACUGUGCAACUACACACUCCCUUUCCCCACGUGGCCAUUUUUUAACAGUUAGCCCUAAACGCGUGUCCAUCCUUACAUUUUAACCUAAAAAUAGAUUUUAGUGAUCUACACACUUUUGUUUUGGCCGCCGUGCCAUUGCCUUUUGUAAAACUAUACGUCCCAUAAUGCAAGUCGGUAAUGACGGCCGCCGUGCCCUCAUGGCCUAUUUGUAUUAUGUUUCUCCAUC
Molecule: long non-coding RNA, 1468 nt
Organism: Solea solea (common sole)
Lineage: Eukaryota; Metazoa; Chordata; Actinopteri; Pleuronectiformes; Soleidae
Exons: 3
Source: RefSeq, a predicted model, not a curated record